This is a small nucleolar RNA of Bison bison bison, 88 nucleotides long. Lineage: Eukaryota; Metazoa; Chordata; Mammalia; Artiodactyla; Bovidae. The record is from Ensembl.
AUUGAAAAUGCUUCAUAGAGUAACUAUGUGUUUUGCUUUACUUACAGAACCAACUAUUAGAUCUGUGGCAAAGAACUAUAAGACAUAG